Molecule: ribosomal RNA, 503 nt
Filed under: uncultured bacterium
Lineage: Bacteria
Description: partial 16S ribosomal RNA
Rfam family: Bacterial small subunit ribosomal RNA
Source: RNAcentral
AUUGAACGCUGGCGGCAGGCUUAACGCAUGCAAGUCGAGCGGGGUGAUGGUGCUUGCACUAUCACUUAGCGGCGGACGGGUGAGUAAUGCUUAGGAAUCUGCCUAUUAGUGGGGGACAACAUCUCGAAAGGGAUGCUCAUACCGCAUACGUCCUACGGGUGAAAGCAGGGGAUCACUUGUGACAUCGCGCUAAUAGAUGAGCCUAAGUCGGAUUAGCUAGUUGGUGGGGUAAAGGCCUACCAAGGCGACGAUCUGUAGCGGGUCUGAGAGGAUGAUCCGCCACACUGGGACUGAGACACGGCCCAGACUCCUACGGGAGGCAGCAGUGGGGAAUAUUGGACAAUGGGGGGAACCCUGAUCCAGCCAUGCCGCGUGUGUGAAGAAGGCCUUAUGGUUGUAAAGCACUUUAAGCGAGGAGGAGGCUCUUUUGGUUAAUACCCAAGAUGAGUGGACGUUACUCGCAGAAUAAGCACCGGCUAACUCUGUGCCAGCCGCCGCAGUAA